GACGGGGGCCCGCACAAGCGGUGGAGCAUGUGGUUUUAAUUCGAUGAUACGCGAGGAACCUUACCUGGGCUCAAAUGUAUGUUGACGUAUUCUGAAAGGGAUACUUCUUUCGGACAAUAUACAAGGUGCUGCAUGGUUGUCGUCAGCUCGUGUCGUGAGAUGUUGGGUUAAGUCCCGUAACGAGCGCAACCCUUGUCCUUAGUUACCAGCACGUUAUGGUGGGCACUCUAAGGAGACUGCCGGUGGCAAACCGGAGGAAGGUGGGGAUGACGUCAAGUCAUCAUGGCCCUUACGGCCUGGGCUACACACGUGCUACAAUGGUCGGUACAAAGGGUUGCCAAGCCGCGAGGUGGAGCUAAUCCCAUAAAACCGAUCGUAGUCCGGAUCGCAGUCUGCAACUCGACUGCGUGAAGUCGGAAUCGCUAGUAAUCGUGAAUCAGAAUGUCACGGUGAAUACGUUCCCGGGCCUU
RNAcentral lists this ribosomal RNA (470 nucleotides) under uncultured Pseudomonas sp. Its description in RNAcentral is "bacterial SSU rRNA". It matches the Rfam family "Bacterial small subunit ribosomal RNA", at positions 912 to 1382 of the family's 1533-position model. The record is from RNAcentral. Lineage: Bacteria; Pseudomonadati; Pseudomonadota; Gammaproteobacteria; Pseudomonadales; Pseudomonadaceae.